UUUGGCAGGGUCGCGUCUACAGAUAGAGUCGGAAGGAAUCUUCGGAUUGUGUGGCGGACGGGUGAGUAACGCGCUGAGAAUCUGCCUUUAGGUUCGGGACAACAGUUGGAAACGACUGCUAAUACCGAAUGUGUCGUAAGAUGAAAGAUUUAUUGCCUAGAGAUGAGCUCGCGUCUGAUUAGCUAGUUGGUGGGGUAAAAGCUUACCAAGGCGACGAUCAGUAGCUGGUCUGAGAGGAUGAUCAGCCACACUGGGACUGAGACACGGCCCAGACUCCUACGGGAGGCAGCAGUGGGGAAUUUUCCGCAAUGGGCGAAAGCCUGACGGAGCAACGCCGCGUGAGGGAGGAAGGCUCUUGGGUUGUAAACCUCUUUUCUCAAGGAAGAUAAUGACGGUACUUGAGGAAUCAGCAUCGGCUAACUCCGUGCCAGCAGCCGCGGUAAUACGGAGGAUGCAAGCGUUAUCCGGAAUAAUUGGGCGUAAAGCGUUCGUAGGUGGUUUUGUAAGUCUGCUGUUAAAGCGUGUAGCUCAACUACAUAUAGGCAGUGGAAACUACAAAACUUGAGUGCGUUCGGGGUAGAGGGAAUUCCUGGUGUAGCGGUGAAAUGCGUAGAGAUCAGGAAGAACACCGGUGGCGAAGGCGCUCUACUAGGCCGCAACUGACACUGAGGGACGAAAGCUAGGGGAGCGAAUGGGAUUAGAUACCCCAGUAGUCCUAGCUGUAAACGAUGGAUACUAGGCGUUGUCUGUAUCGACCCGGACAGUGCCGUAGCUAACGCGUUAAGUAUCCCGCCUGGGGAGUACGCACGCAAGUGUGAAACUCAAAGGAAUUUGACGGGGCCCGCACAA
This 849-nucleotide ribosomal RNA is filed under the name uncultured marine bacterium. RNAcentral's name for it is "bacterial SSU rRNA". It matches the Rfam family "Bacterial small subunit ribosomal RNA", at positions 62 to 928 of the family's 1533-position model. The record is from RNAcentral.